UACGGAGGGUGCAAGCGUUAUCCGGAUUCACUGGGGUUAAAGGGUGCGUAGGUGGGCAGGUAAGUCAGUGGUGAAAUCCUGUAGCUUAACUACAGAACUGCCAUUGAUACUAUUUGUCUUGAAUACCCUGGAGGUGAGCGGAGUAUGUCAUGUAGCGGUGAAAUGCUUAGAUAUGACAUAGGACAUCUAUUGCGAAGGCCGCUCACUACGGGAAUAUUGACGCUGCGGCACGAAAGCGUGGGGAUCAAACAGG
This 253-nucleotide ribosomal RNA is filed under the name uncultured bacterium. Its description in RNAcentral is "partial 16S ribosomal RNA". It matches the Rfam family "Bacterial small subunit ribosomal RNA", at positions 524 to 776 of the family's 1533-position model. The record is from RNAcentral.